UAAACGACUCUCGGCAACGGAUAUCUCGGCUCUCGCAUCGAUGAAGAACGUAGCGAAAUGCGAUACUUGGUGUGAAUUGCAGAAUCCCGUGAACCAUCGAGUCUUUGAACGCAAGUUGCGCCCGAAGCCUUCUGGUUGAGGGCACGCCUGCCUGGGCGUCACGCA
RNAcentral lists this ribosomal RNA (165 nucleotides) under Veronica lyallii. Its description in RNAcentral is "5.8S ribosomal RNA". It matches the Rfam family "5.8S ribosomal RNA". Rfam says of the family: 5.8S ribosomal RNA (5.8S rRNA) is a component of the large subunit of the eukaryotic ribosome. It is transcribed by RNA polymerase I as part of the 45S precursor that also contains 18S and 28S rRNA. Functionally, it is thought that 5.8S rRNA may be involved in ribosome translocation. Lineage: Eukaryota; Viridiplantae; Streptophyta; Magnoliopsida; Lamiales; Plantaginaceae. The record is from RNAcentral.